GAUGAUGAGGUCGUCGUU
RNAcentral lists this microRNA (18 nucleotides) under Caenorhabditis elegans. Lineage: Eukaryota; Metazoa; Nematoda; Chromadorea; Rhabditida; Rhabditidae. The record is from RNAcentral.